RNAcentral lists this ribosomal RNA (493 nucleotides) under uncultured bacterium. RNAcentral describes it as "partial 16S ribosomal RNA". It matches the Rfam family "Bacterial small subunit ribosomal RNA", at positions 30 to 523 of the family's 1533-position model. The record is from RNAcentral.
AUUGAACGCUGGCGGCAUGCUUUACACAUGCAAGUCGAACGGUAACAGGUUAAGCUGACGAGUGGCGAACGGGUGAGUAAUGCAUCGGAACGUGCCCGAUCGUGGGGGAUAACGCAGCGAAAGCUGCGCUAAUACCGCAUACGAUCUGAGGAUGAAAGCGGGGGACCGUAAGGCCUCGCGCGAUCGGAGCGGCCGAUGUCAGAUUAGGUAGUUGGUGGGGUAAAGGCUCAACAAGCCAACGAUCUGUAGCUGGUCUGAGAGGACGACCAGCCACACUGGGACUGAGACACGGCCCAGACUCCUACGGGAGGCAGCAGUGGGGAAUUUUGGACAAUGGGCGAAAGCCUGAUCCAGCAAUGCCGCGUGCAGAAAGAAGGCCUUCGGGUUGUAAACUGCUUUUGUACGGAGCGAAAAGGCCCUCUCUAAUACAGGGGGUUUAUGACGGUACCGUAAGAAUAAGCACCGGCUAACUACGUGCCAGCCGCCGCCGUAA